This is a long non-coding RNA of Lagenorhynchus albirostris (white-beaked dolphin), 2364 nucleotides long. RefSeq lists it as uncharacterized. The record is from RefSeq and is a predicted model, not a curated record. The transcript has 2 exons. Lineage: Eukaryota; Metazoa; Chordata; Mammalia; Artiodactyla; Delphinidae.
UUGGUUCUAACAUUGCUGAACUCGCUUAUUAUUAAUAGGUUGUUCUUUUUUCUAGAUAGAUGACUGUAUUAUCCAUUAUAAAUAAUGACAGUUUUAUUUCUACUUUUCUUAUCCUUAUACUUUCUUUCACUUCUUUCUUCUUUCCAAUACCUUUGGUCAGUUCCUCUGGAACUAUGUUAACGUGCAGUAGUGACAGCAGGCAUUCUCAUCUUACACCCAAUCUUAAAGGGAACGAAUCUAAUUUCUCACUUACCUAUAAUGCUUACUGAAGGUUUUUAGUAUCAAACCUUUACCAAAUUAAGAAAGGUUCUUCUACUUCUACCUUGUUGUGCAUUCUUACCAUAAAAAACUACUGAACUUAUACAACAUUGUAAAUCAACUCUAUUUCCAUUUAAAAGAAAAAACUGUGAAAACCAAGGAGAAGAGCACAGACAAUAUGUACAUUAUUCACCAUGGUUGUGUCCAAUAAAGCUUUAUUUACAAAAAAAGGCAGUGGGCCAAACCUGGCCCAUGCACAUUACUGUGCCAACCCGACAUAAUUGACUCUAUUUCUUAUUAUCUUCAGCUUCCAGGAAAUUGAAUUACUAGGUAUUACAUUACCAAAGUGCCUUCCAAAAAGACUAGCAUUUACUCUGUCACUCGCAGUUUAUGAGACUGCUCCCCUCACCUCACCUUCAUCAGCCUUGAGUUUUAUCACUGCUUGAAAUCCUUCAUAAUUUGAUAGAUAAAACAUGGUAUCUCAUUUUGGUUUUAAUCUGCAUGUCUUUUAACUGGUGAGACCGAACUCUUUUUAAUAUUUUCAUAGCAUCCUAUAUGCCCUCUUUGUUAAAUUAUCAAUUAAUACUACCCUCCUACCCUGCAGUGGACAUGGCACAUAACCCCAAAGUGCAGCUCUGUGUUUCACGCUCCUGAGCGUGUGGGGAUUGUCUGUUAGGGUCAGAGGACCCUCACUUCACACAUCUUUGCCCGUAUCUCUAGUGGGGAGCAUGAGAAGUACUGCUGAUGUUAGCCAAAGUCCUUCUUUCACUUUAGCAACACGCCCCAAUAUAAAUCAGGCUCAUUCCAGACUCUGUUCUAGAUAGGCAGGUAUGGCACGAGGCAGGGGUCCACAGGAUGCAGAAGGCUGUGUGGCACCUCCCAGAGGUACCCCUGGGAGUCUGGGAAGGACGCACUCACCUUCCCCUCUGUUGAUCGAUCCUCCUGCCAAGAACAUGGCUGAGAUGCGGUAUGCUCUGGGAGCCACCUGGACAGGAAGCCAGGAACACCCGGGAACGGGAGAGUGGUUCCACUGCAGAGCCCGGUCGCUGGGGAUGUCACAGAGCCACCAGGACUGCUCGUCCACUCUAGACUCAUUCACAUCAGGCAGGAAUAGCCCCUCCUGCUGAAGUCACCACUUUCUGCUGCUCACAGCUAUGCUUACUACUGAGGGGCAGGGUGGGCAGGGAACUGUACUGUUCUUGAUUUAUGAGGUCAUUAUAUUAGCGGCUUGUCAACAGGUGUAAGAUAACUCUUGUUCCCAGGUUUUUAGUGUUUUUUAUUUUCAACUGCUUUCAAUGUUGCUUAUGUUUCCUGACCUCCAAGUUUUAAACAUUUUCGGUACUCAAGUCUGUUUUUUUCCUUUUGAUCCUCUAUUUUCCUUAUUCUUAGUAAGCCUUCAUUUAACUUUUUAAAAAAGGAUACAGUUUCUGUAAGUGGAUCCAAGUUACUAAAAGAAACAAGAAAAAUGUCAACAGUAAGCAGUGUUUACAAAGCCAGUUUAAAUAAGGAGACUACAACUAAAAAUAACAUGCACAGGGAAAACAAAACAUGUUAAAUCCACAACUUUAAAACCAACUUUACAGCUAAGAAAGAUGGUUUAAUUUACCUAAUGACCAUAAUGAGCUAUCAUCACAGCCACUAUAAAGACAUCUGUACAUUUUCAUUUAACUGCUGCUUCUUUACAAAUUAUAGUUAAUACAUCAUCAAAACCUUCCUUUUUGCUUUUUCCUUUGGCUGCACCAAGUGGCUCGUGGGAUCUUAGUUCUGGACCAGGGACUGGACCCAGGCCCGAAGCAGUGAGAGCACCGAGUCUUCACCACCGGACUGCCAGGGAAGUCCCUAAAACCUUCCAUUUUCUAAAUGGCAAUAAACUGUUACCGGAACUGGGGACCAAGCUGGCAUGUCAAUCACAGAUGGGGUUACUACUGCAACACCCUACUCCAGUGAUUCUCGGAGUUCUUGAUGGAAGUGCCCUAAUCAAAGUGAGAAGUAGGAGAAAACGAGGAGGGAGAGGAGCUCCCCUAUUGGCAUAUUCUGAAGAAGACUUCACAAGCUACAUGAUUCUCGGAAAUCAAAUGUUUUGUUAUAAAUAAAUGGUCAUGCUUA